Molecule: long non-coding RNA, 232 nt
Filed under: Elaeis guineensis (African oil palm)
Lineage: Eukaryota; Viridiplantae; Streptophyta; Magnoliopsida; Arecales; Arecaceae
Description: long non-coding RNA (EGUI_LNC030262)
Source: RNAcentral
CUCUGUUGCCUUAAUACCGAGUCAUGCAUGGGCAACGAGUUGGUAGUGGCAACAUUAUACUACCGGACAAGUUUUGUUGAAAGCAAUAUUAUGGUUGAUGUGGCAUUCAAUUCUCUGAGCAGGAGCUCUUUCUUCCAUUUUUUAGGGAUUGCUAGUAGCGAGACUAAUCAUCCCUCAGGCUAAGACCAACCGCGGAUCCGAAUGGUCCUUGGGAGGCUUCACCAACAAGGGC